Molecule: ribosomal RNA, 1695 nt
Filed under: Triticum aestivum (bread wheat)
Lineage: Eukaryota; Viridiplantae; Streptophyta; Magnoliopsida; Poales; Poaceae
Description: partial small subunit ribosomal RNA
Source: RNAcentral
AUGGAGGUUCCGGAAGAUCGUAGAGUUCCUUUGGUCGCAUACAAGCUGAAAGGAGGAGCCGGUGCAUGGUGGCAUCGCGUUCAAGAGGAGCGCAGGCUGAGAGGAGAACCUCGUGUUAGAACUUGGCGACAAAUGAAAGGCCUCUUGAAAGGGAGAUUUUUGCCCGCUGAUUAUGACCAGAUCCUAUUUAUCCAAUUUCAAAAUUGUGCUGAAGGAAAUAGGGCUGUUUUAGAUUACACAGAGGAGUUUCUAAGGCUACAAGUGAGGUGCAACCUUGCUGAAACUGAAGAGCAACAAGUUGCAAGGUACAUCAAUGGUCUCAAUGAUGCUAUUCAAGAUCAAUUGAUGAUGCAACAAAUCUGGUCCGUUGAUCAAGCACAAGCUCUAGCCUUAAAGGCCGAGAGGUUUGUGAGGAUGAGAAAGACAACUAAGGCUCCAUAUCCCCCAUAUCCUCAUACCGAAGGCUCAUCUAGGAGCCAACCUAAUAGAGUGGAAGAAAAGACCACUCCACCAAAGACAAAACAGCCCAUCCCGAAGCAAACUAGAGGCAAGGGCAAGGCAAAUGAAGGCCCAAAGUGUUAUAAAUGUGGUAAAGAGGGACACAUAUCCAGCGGUUGCCCACUAAGGAAAUUUGUUAACACGACUAUCCAUGAUGGUGAAAGCGAUGAGGAAGAAUACGAAUAUGAAGAUGUAGACGGACAAGAGGUUUGUCAAGAAGAAGGUGAAGAGGUGGUAUGUGUGAUCCAGCGUGUCCUAUGUUCCACACCACAACUCGAUGACACACAUCGGAAGAAAAUAUUUGAGAGCAAAUGCACGGUCAAUGGCAAGGCAUGCAAACUAGUUAUUGAUAGUUGCAGCUGCGAGAAUCUUAUCUCCCAGAAGUUGGUGGACCAUUUAAAGCUUGAAACCCAUGAUCAUCCAAAUCCCUACACUAUUGGAUGGAUCAAGAAAGGAGUGAAUAUGAGGAUCACCAAACAAUGCAACCUGCCACUUUCUUUGGGUAAGCAUUAUCGCUCAAAUGUGUUGUGUGAUGUGGUUGACAUGGAUGCCGGCCAUGUUCUUCUUGGGAGGCCUUGGCAAUUUUAUGUGGAUACUACACACAAGGGCAAGGAAAAUUCUUACUCUUUCAUUUGGAACAAGAGAAGGAUCAUUAUCUUACCAAACAAAACCGAAGGUAAUACCUCUAAGGAGGAGGAGAAAACUAUGUUAACUAUCUCCCAUACCUCUCAUGAGUUUAUGGAAGACUUGAACGAGGCAGAUUUGUGUGCUGCACUUGUUAUAAAGGGAGAAGAGCACCUGACUGUUGAAAUUCCAGCGAAGGUACGUGGUUUAUUGGCAGAAUUUCAGAACAUACUUGGGGAGCCACAUGGCUUGCCACCGAUGAGAGGAAUUCAACAUAGAAUUGACUUAAUUCCGAGAGCAAGUCUUCCUAAUCUUCCACACUAUCGAAUGAGCCCAAAGGAGCAUGAUAUAUUGAAGGAGAAAGUGGAGGAAUUGUUGCAAAAGGGGCACAUUCGAGAAAGUAUUAGCCCAUGUGUUGUACCAACCCUACUCGCGCCAAAUAAAGAUGGAUCUUGGCGCAUGUGUAUGGACAGUAGAGCCGUUAACAAGAUCACCGUAAGGUAUAGAUUCCCUAUUCCCCGUCUGGAUGAUUUUUGGAUCAGCUUAGUGGAGCAAGAGUGUUCACAAAGCUAG